AUACUUCACGGAGAUAAUUGUAUCACCAUCAAUAUGCACCUUCUUUGCAACAACACCUGCAUCAUCAUUCCCAUGGACGAUCAGAAGGUGGCUCUCCUCCUCCCCCAAAGCAACACCCAUAUUACCACUAUCAUGGUUGAUUUGAGGAUAGUUCUUGUCCACCUCACCUCAACUGAUGUUAGCAACAUCGCUGCCUAAGGCAAUGAUGACCCACUAAGGCAAGGAUGACCCAGCCAUCUCCAAGAACCAUGUCUCUACCAAGGGCAAUGUAAGAGAUGGCCUAUUCGACCCUCCUCGAGAUCCAUGUC
This 308-nucleotide long non-coding RNA is filed under the name Elaeis guineensis (African oil palm). RNAcentral describes it as "long non-coding RNA (EGUI_LNC008509)". Lineage: Eukaryota; Viridiplantae; Streptophyta; Magnoliopsida; Arecales; Arecaceae. The record is from RNAcentral.